This 68-nucleotide transfer RNA is filed under the name Semele scabra. RNAcentral describes it as "tRNA-Lys". It matches the Rfam family "tRNA". Rfam says of the family: Transfer RNA (tRNA) molecules are approximately 80 nucleotides in length. Their secondary structure includes four short double-helical elements and three loops (D, anti-codon, and T loops). Lineage: Eukaryota; Metazoa; Mollusca; Bivalvia; Cardiida; Semelidae. The record is from RNAcentral.
GCUUUGGUAGCUAAGAUGUAAGCGAGUGCCUUUUAAGCAUUAGAUGUGGGUUUUAACCACUCAAGGUA